AGAGUUUGAUCCUGGCUCAGGAUGAACGCUAGCGGCGUGCCUAAUGCAUGCAAGUCGAACGGGAUCCUUUGAUUCGUCGAAGGUGAGAGUGGCGAACGGGUGAGUAACACGUUGGUGACCUGCCCCAGAGAGGGGGACAACCAGUGGAAACGCUGGCUAAUACCCCGGACGUCAAAGCGUUUAGAAAACUUUGACUGAAGCUCCGGCGCUCUGGGAGGGGCCUGCGGCCCAUCAGCUUGUUGGUAGGGUAACGGCCUACCAAGGCGAAGACGGGUAGGGGGCGUGAGAGCGUGACCCCCCACACUGGUACUGAUACACGGACCGGAUACCUGCGGGUAGCAGCAGCAAGGAAUAUUGCCCAAUGACGAAAGUCUGAGGCAGCAACGCCGCGUGAAGGAUGAAGGCUUUCGGGUUGUAAACUUCUUUUUUGGGGGAAGAGAAAGGACGGUACCCCAAGAAUAAGAUCCGGCUAACUACGUGCCAGCAGCCGCGGUAAAACGUAGGGAUCGAGCGUUAUCCGGAUUUACUGGGCGUAAAGCGCGUGCAGGCGGUUUUCUAAGUCGGACGUGAAAGCUCUCGGCCCAACCGGGAGAGGCCGUUCGAAACUGGAAGACUUGAGGAUGGUAGAGGCGAGUGGAAUUCCCGGUGUAGUGGUGAAAUGCGUAGAUAUCGGGAGGAACACCAGUGGCGAAGGCGGCUCGCUGGGCCAUUCCUGACGCUGAGACGCGAAAGCUAGGGGAGAGAACGGGAUUAGAAACCCCGGUAUUCCUAGCCGUAAACGAUGUCAACUAGGUGUAGGGGGUAUCCAACCCCCCUGUGCUGUAGCUAACGCGUUAAGUUGACCGCCUGGGGACUACGGCCGCAAGGCUAAAACUCAAAGGAAUUGACGGGGACCCGCACAAGCAGCGGAGCGUGUGGUUUAAUUCGAGACUACGCGAAGAACCUUACCAGGGUUUGACAUGUACGUGGUAGGAAGGUGAAAGCCGACUGACCCUUCGGGGAGCGUACACAGGUGCUGCAUGGCUGUCGUCAGCUCGUGCCGUGAGGUGUUAGGUUAAGUCCUGUAACGAGCGCAACCCUCGUCGUUAGUUAUACGUGUCUAACGAGACUGCCGGUGAUAAGCCGGAGGAAGGUGGGGAUGACGUCAAGUCAGCAUGGCCUUUAUAUCCUGGGCUACACACACGCUACAAUGGCCGGUACAAUGGGUAGCCAAGCCGCGAGGCGGAGCCAAUCCUCCAAAGCCGGUCUCAGUUCGGAUUGUAGGCUGCAACUCGCCUGCAUGAAGUCGGAGUUGCUAGUAAACGCGCGUCAGCAACAGUGCGUUGAAUACGUUCCCGGGCCUUGUACACACCGCCCGUCACGUCAUGGAAGUUGGCAACGCCUGAAGUCAGUGAGCUAACCCUAACGGGAGGCAGCUGCCCAAGGCGGGGUCGGUAACAGGGACGAAGUCGUAACAAGGUA
Molecule: ribosomal RNA, 1461 nt
Filed under: metagenome
Description: bacterial SSU rRNA
Rfam family: Bacterial small subunit ribosomal RNA
Source: RNAcentral